RNAcentral lists this long non-coding RNA (741 nucleotides) under Dromaius novaehollandiae (emu). Its description in RNAcentral is "lncRNA (ENSDNVG00000006981.1)". The record is from RNAcentral. Lineage: Eukaryota; Metazoa; Chordata; Aves; Casuariiformes; Dromaiidae.
UGAGGAAGUGAAGGAGUGUGUUGGGAAUAGCGGGAAGAAAGGUAUGUUUUCAUGGGGGUUUUUUUGAGCUGCCUUUGGAGUAAUUUUGUUCUGUAAGAACCCUCUCCUCAUGGACUGUGGGGAAGCCAUAAAAUCUUUGAGAGUCCUUGUCAUACUGCCUUAUUAGAAGACCCAAUGAGGAUGAAAGCAGUUCUGAUGCUGACUGUAAAUUUGCUUUCAUAGGCAUGACUGAACCUGCAGACAGAUAUCUGCCACUCAAGCUAAUGAAGUAGGUUUGGUAGAAAACCAGCGAGUUGCCUUCCUCUGUACAGGAUCAGAUUGUUGACUGAAGACACAGAACAGAAUAAAAGGAUGAGGGAUGGAGAACAAGAAGAAGAAAAAAAGAAAAGCAAUCCUCUCUCUGCCACCCUCUGAUGUUCCCUCUCCUGAAGAUGAGGAGGAGCAAAGAUCAUGAAGACAAAGCCCCUAAAUACACUGACAAUACACUUAUUUGCCAUGUGGAAUUUAGGUAAAAAGACUGUACAGACUUAGUUUUUGAGGGAGAAGGUCUUGGCGCAACUGAAAGGACGUGUCAUCAUUCUCCUUGCCAGCAGCCCAGGGAAAAGAUUUACAAGAACAUAUAUGGGAAUUUCUGUCAAUGUCAUCUUCAAAAUGCUGCCAAAGAACGUAGGUGUGGCUUUGACUUCAAAUCAGUGCAAGACAUAACUGAGAAUACCUAACUGCUUCUUUAGCCGGUAAAGA